AGUAAUGAAAAGGUUAAAUUUGGGCCGGUUCUAUUUCUUCCCACUAGGCGAAAAUGCAAAAUAAAACUAGGCAUUGUUAUAUGUCGUUUAAAUGAAUGCGUGACAAAAUUUUUUUUAUAACGUCGAUUAACAUAAAUAGAUAACGUAUCUUGUCCGAAGGCUUUUUGAAAAUUCAAUGAAACCAGAAGACAUGAUACUUAAAAAGAUUGUAACAGUGUCGCUUUUCUCAAGUGUUACAAGGGAGGAGCUUGAAGCUUUUCUUACAAAACGCUGUUUACCAAAGUUAAACCUAAGAUUGACUCCGAGGCAUUGGUUCAGCUUGAAAAAUAAAUGGAAUUACUUUGAAGAUGAUUGCCACAAUUCAAAAAAUAAAAAACACUUUGAAAAAAACAUAUUAUAUAAAUUUGUUUUCUAAUUAUCAAAAUUUAAUCAUUUGUGACGCAACGAAAAAAUUCCUACUUUAGUCAGCUCCAAUAACGUAGUUAUUCUAUCUAUUUACGCUUAAAAGCAUAUGAAUAUAACGACUAAAUGUAAAAAUGAACGCUUUUAAGCUCCAUUAAAUAAACGAAAACGGUCAAUAAGAAUGGAAAAGAACUGAAGAUUAACAGAGUCAAAAGGUACCCCAAAAUUUUAAAAAAUUUACGACGUUUACUUGCAGUAUAUUUUAUGAAGAAAAAGAGAAUGUUAACUUUUAAAGUGACCUACAUUCAACGCGAUG
Molecule: long non-coding RNA, 718 nt
Organism: Hylaeus volcanicus
Lineage: Eukaryota; Metazoa; Arthropoda; Insecta; Hymenoptera; Colletidae
Exons: 3
Source: RefSeq, a predicted model, not a curated record